RNAcentral lists this ribosomal RNA (600 nucleotides) under uncultured archaeon. RNAcentral describes it as "bacterial SSU rRNA". It matches the Rfam family "Archaeal small subunit ribosomal RNA", at positions 74 to 671 of the family's 1478-position model. The record is from RNAcentral.
ACCACCGGCGGACGGCUCAGUAACACGUCGGUAACCUACCCUCGGGAGGGGGAUAACCCCGGGAAACUGGGGCUAAUUCCCCAUAGGCCUGAGGUACUGGAAGGUCCUCAGGCCGAAAGGGACUUAUGUCCGCCCGAGGAUGGGCCGGCGGCCGAUUAGGUAGUUGGUGGGGUAAUGGCCCACCAAGCCGAAGAUCGGUACGGGCUGUGAGAGCAGGAGCCCGGAGAUGGACACUGAGACACGGGUCCAGGCCCUACGGGGCGCAGCAGGCGCGAAACCUCCGCAAUGCGGGAAACCGCGACGGGGGGACCCCGAGUGCCGUGGCAACGCCACGGCUUUUCCGGAGUGUAAAAAGCUCCGGGAAUAAGGGCUGGGCAAGGCCGGUGGCAGCCGCCGCGGUAAUACCGGCGGCCCGAGUGGUGGCCGCCAUUAUUGGGCCUAAAGCGUCCGUAGCCGGGCCCGUAAGUCCCUGGCGAAAUCCCACGGCUCAACCGUGGGGCUUGCUGGGGAUACUGCGGGUCUUGGGACCGGGAGAGGCGGGGGGUACCCCUGGGGUAGGGGUGAAAUCCUAUAAUCCCAGGGGGACCGCCAGUGGCGAAG